This 299-nucleotide long non-coding RNA is filed under the name Homo sapiens (human). RNAcentral's name for it is "HSALNT0383112". The record is from RNAcentral. Lineage: Eukaryota; Metazoa; Chordata; Mammalia; Primates; Hominidae.
AGAUAAAAUAAAUCCUUGCUGGAGGACCAGAGUUUGUCCUGCAGACCCAGGGAGGAGAGUUGCACUGGGGAGAAGGAGAGAUGGGGAGCAGGUCCCAUGAGCUAUACUGAUAAUGACAAUGGUGAUAGCAACUUUGGAAGCCAGUUAAUAUUGGAAUAUGGCAAAGCCACUAUCAGCCUGUUUCCUGAGGGAACGCAUAGAGCCGAACUUUCUCCCUGCGCCUACUCCAACAAUCUGGAAUGUCUGCCUUGGAAUAUUAUGUGAGAAAGAAAUAAACAUCUCUUGUGUUUGAACCAUUA